GAUGAAGAACGUAGCAAACGUGCGAAACGUAAUGUGAAUUGCAGAAUUCAGUGAAUCAUCGAAUCUUUGAACGCAUCUUGCGCUCCUUGGUAUUCCGAGGAGCAUGCCUGUUUGAGUGUCGUGAAUACUCUCAACUUCAACCCUUUUUUCGGAAAGGGAGGAAGGUUGGACUUGGGUGUUUGUUGAAGUGCGAGCUUCGACUCAUCCUAAAUGCAUUAGCGAUCUGCCUCGAUCACACACAAUGUGAUAAUUAAAACUAAAGCAUUGUUUAAUGAUCAAGUCGAGACUGCUUCUAACUGUCGCAAGACAAUAACGUGCAUACAUUUGUGCAUGUCAUUUGACCUCAAAUCAGGUAGGACUACCCGCUGAACUUAAGCAUAUCAAUAAGCGGAGGA
This 395-nucleotide unclassified non-coding RNA is filed under the name soil metagenome. RNAcentral describes it as "partial contains 5.8S ribosomal RNA, internal transcribed spacer 2, and large subunit ribosomal RNA". The stretch from base 1 to 121 matches the Rfam family "5.8S ribosomal RNA", at positions 35 to 154 of the family's 154-position model. The record is from RNAcentral.